This is a small nucleolar RNA of Fukomys damarensis (Damara mole-rat), 84 nucleotides long. Its record names the gene SNORD22. It matches the Rfam family "Small nucleolar RNA SNORD22". Rfam says of the family: U22 is a member of the C/D class of snoRNA which contain the C (UGAUGA) and D (CUGA) box motifs. U22 is encoded within the U22 snoRNA host gene (UHG) in mammals and has also been identified in Xenopus. Lineage: Eukaryota; Metazoa; Chordata; Mammalia; Rodentia; Bathyergidae. The record is from Ensembl.
UACUACCCUCAAAGCCUGUACAGGUGAACCCACUAGGAAAGGCUGGCGCAAAAGAGGAAAAUUUGUUCCUAAAGAACUGUCAGA